AGUUAAAUAUUCAUGAGAAUACUGUGUUUUGAAAGCACAUAAAAGGGGUUUAAAUCCCCUAUUAACUU
RNAcentral lists this transfer RNA (68 nucleotides) under Haplosymploce aurantiaca. Its description in RNAcentral is "tRNA-Ser". It matches the Rfam family "tRNA". From Rfam's summary of the family: Transfer RNA (tRNA) molecules are approximately 80 nucleotides in length. Their secondary structure includes four short double-helical elements and three loops (D, anti-codon, and T loops). The record is from RNAcentral. Lineage: Eukaryota; Metazoa; Arthropoda; Insecta; Blattodea; Blattellidae.